GACGAACGCUGGCGGCGUGCUUAUCACAUGCAAGUCGAACGGUAAGGCCCUUCGGGGUACACGAGUGGCGAACGGGGGAGUAACACGUGGGUGAGCUCCCCUGCACUUCGGGAGAAGCCGGGGAAACUGGGUCUAAUACCGGAUAGGACUCCGGACUGCAUGGCCGGGGGUGGAGGGGUUUUGCGGUGUGGGAUGGGCCCGCGGCCGAUCAGAUUGUGGGUGGGGUGAUGGCCUACCAAGGCGACGACGGGUAGCCGGCCUGAGAGGGUGACCGGCCACACUGGGACUGAGAUACGGCCCAGACUGCCACGGGAGGCAGCAGUGGGGAAUAUUGCACAAUGGGCGCAAGCCUGAUGCAGCGACGCCGCGUGAGGGAUGACGGCCUUCGGGUUGUAAACCUCUUUCAGCACCGACGAAGCGCAAGUGACGGUAGGUGCAGAAGAAGGACCGGCCAACUACGUGCCAGCCGCCGCGGUAA
This 478-nucleotide ribosomal RNA is filed under the name uncultured bacterium. Its description in RNAcentral is "partial 16S ribosomal RNA". It matches the Rfam family "Bacterial small subunit ribosomal RNA", at positions 28 to 523 of the family's 1533-position model. The record is from RNAcentral.